UUUCUAUUUCCUUCCCUCUUCUCCGUUUACUCAUUCCUUGCCUUAUGAACCUUAUUUUACCCUCACAAAUUCUCAUCUCAAAAACACUCAAACAGUAGCCAUUUCUUGCUUCCUUGGACUCCGGCAUUCCUCCCCUUCAUCCAAGGUCAGUUCGGCAAUCACCUUCACUUCUAUCAUCAUCAUCAUCACCUCCUUCCACAUAUGUACAUACCUACAUACAUAGAAUACAAAUAUACAAUUAGUGGUGAAAAGGCUUUGAAGGAACUGCCCCUAGCAAAAAAGAAAAGAAAAGAAAGAAACGUUGUGGCUGAUUUUUCAAAAGCUAUGAGAUCUGAGGCCUUUCUCAUUUCCUUCUACCACUUUUUGCAAAAUACCCAUUUUUUUAUAUUUGAUUCUUAAGUCAUUCUUCUUUUACACGGUUGUAGGUUUGUGAAGAAUGAUGAUGCAUGCACAGGGUUUUUAGCAGCUGUAAUCCUGAUGUAAAUUUUCUAUUUAGUAAUUAGCAAAAUGACUAAUUGGCAGUGCGUUUUUCUCAUUGGGAUGUCUUGUUUGAGUGUUUUUGGCUUACUUGGUCUAUGAAUGUUGCCAAUCCCACUGAAUAUAUCUUAUUUGCAGUUUACAAUAUAAAAAUGCAUAGUCUUUUUUGCUAGGUCUAGUCAUUGAUACCUCUCUUGGAACAACUCAGAUAAAGCUUUGUCUUUCCUAAAUGCAAAAUGUAUUUGCUUUGGGACAGGCAUGUUAAACUUUUAUUAUGCUUUUUAUGAUGCGCUUCAUGUGUCGAUUUCAUCAA
Molecule: long non-coding RNA, 790 nt
Organism: Gossypium raimondii (Peruvian cotton)
Lineage: Eukaryota; Viridiplantae; Streptophyta; Magnoliopsida; Malvales; Malvaceae
Exons: 2
Source: RefSeq, a predicted model, not a curated record